Molecule: ribosomal RNA, 159 nt
Filed under: Taraxacum sp. RHS-2016
Lineage: Eukaryota; Viridiplantae; Streptophyta; Magnoliopsida; Asterales; Asteraceae
Description: 5.8S ribosomal RNA
Rfam family: 5.8S ribosomal RNA
About the family: 5.8S ribosomal RNA (5.8S rRNA) is a component of the large subunit of the eukaryotic ribosome. It is transcribed by RNA polymerase I as part of the 45S precursor that also contains 18S and 28S rRNA.
Source: RNAcentral
GACUCUCGGCAACGGAUAUCUCGGCUCACGCAUCGAUGAAGAACGUAGCAAAAUGCGAUACUUGGUGUGAAUUGCAGAAUCCCGUGAACCAUCGAGUUUUUGAACGCAAGUUGCGCCCGAAGCCAUCCGGUUUAGGGCACGCCUGCCUGGGCGUCACGC